RNAcentral lists this microRNA (22 nucleotides) under Ascaris suum (pig roundworm). Its description in RNAcentral is "asu-miR-5351-3p". Lineage: Eukaryota; Metazoa; Nematoda; Chromadorea; Rhabditida; Ascarididae. The record is from miRBase by way of RNAcentral.
UUUGGCACAUGUAAUACCUGCC